GGGUUGUGAGGUUAAGCGACUAAGCGUACACGGUGGAUGCCCUGGCAGUCAGAGGCGAUGAAGGACGUGCUAAUCUGCGAAAAGCGUCGGUAAGGUGAUAUGAACCGUUACAGCCGGCGAUGUCCGAAUGGGGAAACCCAGUGCAAUUCGUUGCACUAUCGUUAACUGAAUACAUAGGUUAACGAGGCGAACCGGGGGAACUGAAACAUCUAAGUACCCCGAGGAAAAGAAAUCAACCGAGAUUCCCCCAGUAGCGGCGAGCGAACGGGGAGCAGCCCAGAGUCUGAAUCAGCUUGUGUGUUAGUGGAACGGUCUGGAAAGUCCGACGGUACAGGGUGAUAGUCCCGUACACCAAAAUGCACAGGUUGUGAACUCGAAGAGUAGGGCGGGACACGUGGUAUCCUGUCUGAAUAUGGGGGGACCAUCCUCCAAGGCUAAAUACUCCUGACUGACCGAUAGUGAACCAGUACCGUGAGGGAAAGGCGAAAAGAACCCCGGCGAGGGGAGUGAAAAAGAACCUGAAACCGUGUACGUACAAGCAGUGGGAGCACCCUUUAGGGUGUGACUGCGUACCUUUUGUAUAAUGGGUCAGCGACUUAUAUUCUGUAGCAAGGUUAACCGUAUAGGGGAGCCGCAGGGAAACCGAGUCUUAACUGGGCGUUAAGUUGCAGGGUAUAGACCCGAAACCCGGUGAUCUAGCCAUGGGCAGGUUGAAGGUUGGGUAACACUAACUGGAGGACCGAACCGACUAAUGUUGAAAAAUUAGCGGAUGACUUGUGGCUGGGGGUGAAAGGCCAAUCAAACCGGGAGAUAGCUGGUUCUCCCCGAAAGCUAUUUAGGUAGCGCCUCGUGAAUUCAUCUUCGGGGGUAGAGCACUGUUUCGGCUAGGGGGUCAUCCCGACUUACCAACCCGAUGCAAACUACGAAUACCGAAGAAUGUUAUCACGGGAGACACACGGCGGGUGCUAACGUCCGUCGUGAAGAGGGAAACAACCCAGACCGCCAGCUAAGGUCCCAAAGUCACAGUUAAGUGGGAAACGAUGUGGGAAGGCACAGACAGCCAGGAUGUUGGCUUAGAAGCAGCCAUCAUUUAAAGAAAGCGUAAUAGCUCACUGGUCGAGUCGGCCUGCGCGGAAGAUGUAACGGGGCUAAACUGUGCACCGAAGCUGCGGCAGCGACACUAUGUGUUGUUGGGUAGGGGAGCGUUCUGUAAGCCUGCGAAGGUGGCCUGUGAGGGUUGCUGGAGGUAUCAGAAGUGCGAAUGCUGACAUAAGUAACGAUAAUGCGGGUGAAAAGCCCGCACGCCGGAAGACCAAGGGUUCCUGUCCAACGUUAAUCGGGGCAGGGUGAGUCGACCCCUAAGGCGAGGCCGAAAGGCGUAGUCGAUGGGAAACAGGUUAAUAUUCCUGUACUUGGUGUUACUGCGAAGGGGGGACGGAGAAGGCUAUGUUAGCCGGGCGACGGUUGUCCCGGUUUAAGCAUGUAGGCGGAGGUUCCAGGUAAAUCCGGUACCUUUUAACGCUGAGGUGUGAUGACGAGGCACUACGGUGCUGAAGUAACAAAUGCCCUGCUUCCAGGAAAAGCCUCUAAGCAUCAGGUAACAUUGAAUCGUACCCCAAACCGACACAGGUGGUCAGGUAGAGAAUACCAAGGCGCUUGAGAGAACUCGGGUGAAGGAACUAGGCAAAAUGGUGCCGUAACUUCGGGAGAAGGCACGCUGAUAUGUAGGUGAAGCCCCUGCGGGUGGAGCUGAAAUCAGUCGAAGAUACCAGCUGGCUGCAACUGUUUAUUAAAAACACAGCACUGUGCAAACACGAAAGUGGACGUAUACGGUGUGACGCCUGCCCGGUGCCGGAAGGUUAAUUGAUGGGGUUAUCCGUAAGGAGAAGCUCUUGAUCGAAGCCCCGGUAAACGGCGGCCGUAACUAUAACGGUCCUAAGGUAGCGAAAUUCCUUGUCGGGUAAGUUCCGACCUGCACGAAUGGCGUAAUGAUGGCCAGGCUGUCUCCACCCGAGACUCAGUGAAAUUGAACUCGCUGUGAAGAUGCAGUGUACCCGCGGCAAGACGGAAAGACCCCGUGAACCUUUACUAUAGCUUGACACUGAACAUUGAGCCUUGAUGUGUAGGAUAGGUGGGAGGCUUUGAAGCGUGGACGCCAGUCUGCGUGGAGCCAACCUUGAAAUACCACCCUUUAAUGUUUGAUGUUCUAACGUUGGCCCCUUAUCGGGGUUGCGGACAGUGUCUGGUGGGUAGUUUGACUGGGGCGGUCUCCUCCCAAAGAGUAACGGAGGAGCACGAAGGUUAGCUAAUCCUGGUCGGACAUCAGGAGGUUAGUGCAAUGGCAUAAGCUAGCUUGACUGCGAGCGUGACGGCGCGAGCAGGUGCGAAAGCAGGUCAUAGUGAUCCGGUGGUUCUGAAUGGAAGGGCCAUCGCUCAACGGAUAAAAGGUACUCCGGGGAUAACAGGCUGAUACCGCCCAAGAGUUCAUAUCGACGGCGGUGUUUGGCACCUCGAUGUCGGCUCAUCACAUCCUGGGGCUGAAGUAGGUCCCAAGGGUAUGGCUGUUCGCCAUUUAAAGUGGUACGCGAGCUGGGUUUAGAACGUCGUGAGACAGUUCGGUCCCUAUCUGCCGUGGGCGCUGGAGAAUUGAGGGGGGCUGCUCCUAGUACGAGAGGACCGGAGUGGACGCAUCACUGGUGUUCGGGUUGUCAUGCCAAUGGCAUUGCCCGGUAGCUAAAUGCGGAAGAGAUAAGUGCUGAAAGCAUCUAAGCACGAAACUUGCCCCGAGAUGAGUUCUCCCUGACUCCUUGAGAGUCCUGAAGGAACGUUAAAGACGAUGACGUUGAUAGGUCGGGUGUGUAAGCGUAGCGAUACGUUGAGCUAACCGAUACUAAUGAACCGUGAGGCUUAACCUUACAACGCCGAAGCUGUU
RNAcentral lists this ribosomal RNA (2932 nucleotides) under Klebsiella aerogenes. RNAcentral describes it as "bacterial LSU rRNA". It matches the Rfam family "Bacterial large subunit ribosomal RNA". Lineage: Bacteria; Pseudomonadati; Pseudomonadota; Gammaproteobacteria; Enterobacterales; Enterobacteriaceae. The record is from RNAcentral.